CUCUGCCUUCUCCAGCUGCUUCCGGAAGACUUCCUUCAGCUAGGAAGUUCAAGGAGAGAAAUCAGAUUAAUGGGUUGCUUUGGGGAGUAAUCAUACUGCUCUCUCUUGAAGACAUUACGGCUGGAAGGGACCUCAGAAGACCAUCGAGUCCAGCCCCCUGCCCCAGGGGCAGGAAGUCAGCUAGCUUCAAAGGAUCCCAGCAAGAUAAAUGUCCAAAUGUCUCUUAAAGGAGUUCAGAGUAAGUCCUUGCACCACCUCUGGCGGCAGUUUGUUCCAGGCCUUGGGGGCUCAGACAGUAAAGAAGUUCUUCCUUAUGUCCAGCCUGAAACAGUCUUGGAGGAGUUUGUGACUGGUUGACCUUGUCGUUCCUUGGGGCACUCUGGUGAACAGGUGUUCCCCCAGGUCCUGAUGGACACCCCUUAUAUACUUGUAGGCAGCCACCAGGUCCCCCCUGAGCCUGCACUUUUCCAGGCUGAAGAGUCCCAUGGCUCUCAGCCUCUCAUCAUAAGGCCUGUUCUCCUGCCCUCUGAUCAUGCACAUGGCUCUUCUCUGGACUCUCUCAAGGUUCUCCACAUCCUUUUUAAACUGCGGAGCCCAGAAUUAGAUGCAGUACCAUUCUUUUUAAAUUGUGACACCCAGAAUGUUUGUUACAUUGUUUUCAGGAGCAUGGCUUUUAGCCAGAAUCCUUAAUAAACUGAAUUGAACUUUG
Molecule: long non-coding RNA, 709 nt
Organism: Alligator mississippiensis (American alligator)
Lineage: Eukaryota; Metazoa; Chordata; Crocodylia; Alligatoridae
Exons: 2
Source: RefSeq, a predicted model, not a curated record